This is a microRNA precursor of Capra hircus (goat), 71 nucleotides long. Ensembl annotates it as microRNA mir-194. Its record names the gene MIR194. NCBI's taxonomy places the organism in Eukaryota, Metazoa, Chordata, Mammalia, Artiodactyla, Bovidae. The record is from Ensembl.
UGUAACAGCAACUCCAUGUGGACUGUGCGUCAAUUUCCAGUGGAGAUGCUGUUACUUUUGAUGGCUGCCAA